This 408-nucleotide ribosomal RNA is filed under the name Serinicoccus sp. RNAcentral describes it as "bacterial SSU rRNA". It matches the Rfam family "Bacterial small subunit ribosomal RNA", at positions 953 to 1353 of the family's 1533-position model. Lineage: Bacteria; Bacillati; Actinomycetota; Actinomycetes; Micrococcales; Ornithinimicrobiaceae. The record is from RNAcentral.
GAUGCAACGCGAAGAACCUUACCAAGGCUUGACAUACACCGGACGACUGCAGAGAUGUGGUUUCCCUUUGUGGCUGGUGUACAGGUGGUGCAUGGUUGUCGUCAGCUCGUGUCGUGAGAUGUUGGGUUAAGUCCCGCAACGAGCGCAACCCUCGUUCCAUGUUGCCAGCAACACCUUUUAGGUGGUUGGGGACUCAUGGGAGACUGCCGGGGUCAACUCGGAGGAAGGUGGGGAUGACGUCAAAUCAUCAUGCCCCUUACGUCUUGGGCUUCACGCAUGCUACAAUGGCCGGUACAAAGGGCUGCGAUCCCGUGAGGGUGAGCGAAUCCCAGAAAGCCGGUCUCAGUUCGGAUUGGGGUCUGCAACUCGACCCCAUGAAGUCGGAGUCGCUAGUAAUCGCAGAUCAGC